ACGCUUGCUGCCCGGCCGCCAUCGGCUCGCGGGAUUUGACUGUACUGAGGUUUGUUACUACUGGACUGUACUGAGGGAACCUUGUUACGACUUGACUGACUAGAGGGACCUUGCUCCUGACUUGACUCGACUGUAGGCCUACCUUGUCACGACUAUGACUGCCUAGAGGUUGCCUUGGUGUACAGACCAUGACUGACUGAAGGCUACUUUUGCUACAGACUCGGCUGACUGAGGUUACCUUGCUACCACUUGACUGACUGCGGAUACCUUGUUACGACUUGACUCACUUAGAUAGCCUUGCAACUACUGACUGACUGAGGUUACUUGUCACGACGUGACUCACUGACAGUUACCUUGUUACACUUACCCCAUCAUCUGCCCCACCCGCGGCUGUAGCACUCAGUCAGUCAAAUCACUAUUGCGGCCGCCUGCUGACUGACCAUAUGUGAGAGCUCACCAACCGCUUUGUAUGCAUCGCUUGAGUAUUUUAUAAUGUCACCCUAGAUAGCUCGUUUGACAUCUUGGCAUUGUUGAUCAUUGUGACCACAAUUGCUUUUCCGUUCAAAAAUCC
Molecule: ribosomal RNA, 571 nt
Filed under: uncultured organism
Description: partial 16S ribosomal RNA
Source: RNAcentral